AUCUUGUUUGCCACAUCCAAGGCAUCAUAAUCUGGAGUCAACCUUACAUAUGCCUUCUUAGUUCCAUCAGGCCUGAUCAAAGUAUUGACUUUCUUGGUGUGAAUGUCAUACAUCUUCUUCACUGCAUCCUUGAUCUUCUUCUUUUCAGCACGAAUGUCAACAAUAAACACAAGUGUGUUGUUGUCCUCAAUCUUCUUCAUGGCAGACUCGGUAGU
This 215-nucleotide unclassified non-coding RNA is filed under the name Hevea brasiliensis (rubber tree). Lineage: Eukaryota; Viridiplantae; Streptophyta; Magnoliopsida; Malpighiales; Euphorbiaceae. The record is from RNAcentral.